This 217-nucleotide ribosomal RNA is filed under the name Cordyceps sp. 97009. RNAcentral's name for it is "partial 18S rRNA". It matches the Rfam family "Eukaryotic small subunit ribosomal RNA", at positions 1617 to 1831 of the family's 1831-position model. Lineage: Eukaryota; Fungi; Ascomycota; Sordariomycetes; Hypocreales; Cordycipitaceae. The record is from RNAcentral.
GUAAGCGCAAGUCAUCAGCUUGCGUUGAUUACGUCCCUGCCCUUUGUACACACCGCCCGUCGCUACUACCGAUUGAAUGGCUCAGUGAGGCGUCCGGACUGGCCCCAGGAGGUGGGCAACUACCCCCCAGGGCCGGAAAGCUCUCCAAACUCGGUCAUUUAGAGGAAGUAAAAGUCGUAACAAGGUCUCCGUUGGUGAACCAGCGGAGGGAUCAUUA